This 259-nucleotide unclassified non-coding RNA is filed under the name Hevea brasiliensis (rubber tree). Lineage: Eukaryota; Viridiplantae; Streptophyta; Magnoliopsida; Malpighiales; Euphorbiaceae. The record is from RNAcentral.
GUUGAGAGCUCUUACCAUUUUCUUGCCCAGUCUGCACCGCUGCCUGUAAUUCAAGAACCAUCCACAAAAUUUUCUUUUGCUGUUGUUGUUGGCUAUCAUUCCUUCAUGUAUCAAAUUCACUUAAAGCAUCACCUCUUCUACUUGCUCAAGCCAUUCUUUAACCUGACUAGUUGGUAAUUUCCCAUCCUUGAAAGCUGUUUCAAGUUCUUGAUUCAAAUCAUCCCUCAGAGAAAUUAGAUUCUGCAUCUCUUUCUCCAAA